UCCCUGGUGGUCCAGUGGUUAAGACUUUGCCUUCCAAUGCAGGGGGUGCAGGUUUGAACCCUCCUCAGGGAA
Molecule: transfer RNA, 72 nt
Filed under: Ovis aries (sheep)
Lineage: Eukaryota; Metazoa; Chordata; Mammalia; Artiodactyla; Bovidae
Rfam family: tRNA
About the family: Transfer RNA (tRNA) molecules are approximately 80 nucleotides in length. Their secondary structure includes four short double-helical elements and three loops (D, anti-codon, and T loops).
Source: Rfam by way of RNAcentral